AGCUUCAGUAGCGUAUAUUAAAGUUGUUGCAGUUAAAAAGCUCGUAGUCGCAUUUCUGGCGAGAGGAUCCGGUCCGACCUUUUGGUGGGUUCUUGGGUCUCUUUCGCCAUCCUUGAGUGGUCCGUUCUGGCAUUAGGUUGUCGGAGCGUCAGCCGCUCAUCGUUUACUGUGAGAAAAUUAGAGUGUUCAAAGCAGGCUUAUGCCGUUGAAUAUAUUAGCAUGGAAUAAUAAGAUAGGACCUCGGUACUAUGUUGUUGGUUUGCGCACCAAGGUAAUGAUGAACAGGGACAGUUGGGGGUAUUUGUAUUUCGUUGUCAGAGGUGAAAUUCUUAGAUUUACGAAAGACAAACUACUGCGAAAGCAUUUACCAAGGAUGUUUGCA
This 382-nucleotide ribosomal RNA is filed under the name uncultured marine Chaetocerotaceae. RNAcentral's name for it is "SSU rRNA". It matches the Rfam family "Eukaryotic small subunit ribosomal RNA", at positions 587 to 972 of the family's 1831-position model. The record is from RNAcentral. Lineage: Eukaryota; Bacillariophyta; Thalassiosirophyceae; Chaetocerotales; Chaetocerotaceae.